AAAACGGCCCUUUUCAGGGCCACCACAUCUAAAUGUGCCUAUACAU
This is a non-coding RNA of Macrostomum lignano, 46 nucleotides long. NCBI's taxonomy places the organism in Eukaryota, Metazoa, Platyhelminthes, Macrostomidae. The record is from Rfam.